CACGUAGGGUGCGAGCGUUGUCCGGAAUCAUUGGGCGUAAAGAGCGUGUAGGCGGCCCGAUAAGUCCGCUGUGAAAGUCCAGGGCUCAACCCUGGAAUGCCGGUGGAUACUGUCGGGCUCGAAUCCGGAAGAGGUGAGUGGAAUUCCUGGUGUAGCGGUGAAAUGCGCAGAUAUCAGGAGGAACACCGGUGGCGAAGGCGGGUCUCUGGGCCGAUACUGACGCUGAGGAGCGAAAGCGUGGGGAGCGAACAGG
RNAcentral lists this ribosomal RNA (253 nucleotides) under uncultured bacterium. Its description in RNAcentral is "partial 16S ribosomal RNA". It matches the Rfam family "Bacterial small subunit ribosomal RNA", at positions 524 to 776 of the family's 1533-position model. The record is from RNAcentral.